AUGACACUUUAAACUGUGAUACGUUUUGGAUUAACUGUAGUUUAAGUUGCAGCAUGUUUAGCUACCAAAUUUAUCAAAUGUUACCAAGAUUGCUUAUGUCUGUGCCUUAUCGUUGUGUUUGUUAAAAGGACCUGUAACUGACGCUGCGGCUAAGGAGUUCUUGGACAGCUACCCCGUUCCCUUACUUUUCAGUGUGGGAAUGGAUGACAAUGUUAAGCGCCUGCAACAAGGACUUGUAGAGGUUGAAAUUGAGGCUGAGCGUCUUCUCUUGGCAAAACAACAGCUGGUUGAGUGUGACAGGUCCAGGAAUAGCAACCGAGAGGCUCUAACAGCAUUACGAAAGCAAGCUUGAACUUCAAAAAGUAGUGUUCCUUCCCCUUAUGAAUCACUCAUGAAACAAAUGGGGGGAAGUGAUGCUAAAGUCAAGGAAAUUUGCAGAACUUGUGGGGACCAUGAUUCAACUGAGAAUACGUGGAUGACGUUUGCUGGAGGAGAUAUUUUUGCACACUUACCAUUUCAUGCAGUUCAUGUCAGCUUAGAGAAAGAUCAGGAGAAAUUGGACUUCGAUGUAAAAAAAUUACAAAGCUACGUGAAGGAUAAAACUUUAUCACUUUCAGAGAAAGGUGGUUUGUCUGAUAUAAUAAGCCCACAAGUUCUUAGAGCAAUGGUAUCUCUAAAGGAUUCUAAGUGAUUUAAAUCCAUUUGUUAGGAUGAAGGCUCUAAUUCCUGUCUAAAGAAAAGGUUCAUGUAUUAGAGCUGCUUCCUUUUCAACAUCAACCAAAAGGAAUGAGAUGGUUUCAGUUGGGCAUCUUGAAUGCUGUGAUGAAUGAUCUGUAUUGCUUAGUCUUCCUUCAGAAAAUUGAAAUCAUUAGCAGAAGUUUGGUUGUGUAUCGGAAUGUACAACUUUUUUAGUAAGUCUUAAUGGAUUUAUCUUAUCUGAA
This is an RNA transcript of Cryptomeria japonica (Japanese cedar), 941 nucleotides long. RefSeq lists it as uncharacterized. The record is from RefSeq and is a predicted model, not a curated record. Lineage: Eukaryota; Viridiplantae; Streptophyta; Pinopsida; Cupressales; Cupressaceae. The transcript is spliced from 4 exons.